AUCCUUUUAAGAAUAUCUAAUAAAAUUGGAACGAUACAGAGAAGAUUAGCAUGACCCAUGUGCAAAGUUGACAUGAAACACUUUGACCUCAAAACUACAAUC
Molecule: small nuclear RNA, 102 nt
Organism: Pyrus x bretschneideri (Chinese white pear)
Lineage: Eukaryota; Viridiplantae; Streptophyta; Magnoliopsida; Rosales; Rosaceae
Source: RefSeq, a predicted model, not a curated record